This 429-nucleotide ribosomal RNA is filed under the name Bacteroidota bacterium. RNAcentral describes it as "Bacteroidetes bacterium partial 16S ribosomal RNA". It matches the Rfam family "Bacterial small subunit ribosomal RNA", at positions 355 to 776 of the family's 1533-position model. The record is from RNAcentral. Lineage: Bacteria; Pseudomonadati; Bacteroidota.
UAGGGAAUCUUCCGCAAUGGACGCAAGUCUGACGGAGCAACGCCGCGUGAGUGAAGAAGGAUUUCGGUUCGUAAAACUCUGUUGUUAGAGAAGAACAGCGCAUAGAGUAACUGUUAUGCGUGUGACGGUAUCUAACCAGAAAGCCACGGCUAACUACGUGCCAGCAGCCGCGGUAAUACGUAGGUGGCAAGCGUUGUCCGGAUUUAUUGGGCGUAAAGCGAGCGCAGGCGGUCAAUUAAGUCUGAUGUGAAAGCCCCCGGCUCAACCGGGGAGGGUCAUUGGAAACUGGUGGGCUUGAGUGCAGAAGAGGAGAGUGGAAUUCCAUGUGUAGCGGUGAAAUGCGUAGAUAUAUGGAGGAACACCAGGGGCGAAGGCGACUCUCUGGUCUGUAACUGACGCUGAGGCUCGAAAGCGUGGGUAGCAAACAGG